UCCUACGGGUGGCAGCAGUGGGGAAUCUUGCACAAUGGGCGAAAGCCUGAUGCAGCGACGCCGCGUGGGGGAUGAAGCUUUUCGGAGUGUAAACCCCUUUCGAUCCGGACGAAUGUCCCGCAAGGGAUUGACGGUACGGGUAUAAGAAGCCCCGGCUAACUACGUGCCAGCAGCCGCGGUAAGACGUAGGGGGCCAGCGUUGCUCGGAAUUACUGGGCGUAAAGGGUUCGUAGGCGGUGUGGCAAGUCGGAAGUGAAAUCUCCAGGCUUAACUUGGAGGCUGCUCCCGAAACUGCCAUGCUUGAGUGCAGGAGAGGCGAGUGGAAUUGCAGGUGUAGCGGUGAAAUGCGUAGAUAUCUGCAGGAACACCCGUGGCGAAAGCGGCUCGCUGGACUGCAACUGACGCUGAGGAACGAAAGCUAGGGGAGCAAACAGGAUUAGAUACCCGGGUAGUC
This 454-nucleotide ribosomal RNA is filed under the name uncultured bacterium. RNAcentral's name for it is "bacterial SSU rRNA". It matches the Rfam family "Bacterial small subunit ribosomal RNA", at positions 337 to 795 of the family's 1533-position model. The record is from RNAcentral.